This 1382-nucleotide long non-coding RNA is filed under the name Monodelphis domestica (gray short-tailed opossum). RNAcentral describes it as "lncRNA (ENSMODG00000036507.1)". The record is from RNAcentral. Lineage: Eukaryota; Metazoa; Chordata; Mammalia; Didelphimorphia; Didelphidae.
GUGGCCGCUGCCGCAUGCUAGCAGCUACUGGGAGCCACAAGUGAGAGCUGGGUGUCAGGUGAGGGUCAGUGGCUGGAGAGCUGCCCUAGGAGGGCACGACAAGCCCUCCAUACCAAAGAUGCUACGCCUCCCUGAGCACCCCAUACCCCAUAAACCACCUUAAACUCCAUUCUGACUUGAGUGUUUCAUUUAGAGAAUUACAUAGCUGAUUUCCCUGGUGACCAUAAAUUAAUAUUUUUAACAACCUUUAAAGGUGAUUUUCACCACAACACAAUGACCACUCCCUGGUAAAACCAUCUAGGGAGACAGGCUAAACCAGAUGAACAGUAAUGGGUGAGCCUCAACCCUUUGGUGAGUAAGAGGUUUGUUGAUCUGCCCCAAGCAACUGUAGCCUCUCUCCUCCAACAACUCAAUCAGGCAACAAGUGCUAUGGAACCAUUAAAGGUUGGUAAUAUGUCAAAGACGCCAAGGUCAUCCACUGUAUCACAGGCCAUCACCAUUUUCCUGACUUUUGCCCUGCCACUGGACCACAAUGAGUAGAAAAGAAAGUAAGGCUGAUAUUUUAUGCAGCUCUGCCUCACUUAAAUCCAAUUCAAGUGCAAGUCCAAACACCACCCCAUGAUAUUACUGGUCCUCUUGUGAAAUUAAGGACAAAUGACAGUAGUCUCUUCUCUCUGCAUCAGAUAGUUCUGAUGCAGACCAAUCAGGCAGUUCUGGUCCUCAGGCUCAUAUUCCUUCUCCCCUUUCCCUAAUGCCUGGUGCUGUUAAACACAUAUAUAAACCUUAUAAAAACCCACUAGAUUUUAAUGGUUGUGAGGGGUGCCUAAUCCCCCUGUUGUCUUAGAAGAGUGCCUAAUUCUACCCAAGGUCUCUCCUUUCUAUCUCUCUGAUUGUCUUUCAUAUUCUAAGUAUAUACCCUCAAUAAGAUAGUCUUGUUUUUUACUCUCCGGUUCCAUGUUCCACACUUCCUUUCUAUACAUUGUUCAAAAUCUUUCUAAAUCUUCAUUAAAACCCAAGGCAUUUAGUUUUGACUCCACAUCAAUGUCUCAUUUUACAGACAAAGAAACUGAAGUUCAGAGAAGAAAAAUGAUUUGUCCUAGAUCAUGGAGCAAAUUAGUAGCAAGACACAGCUUCAAACCCAGACAUAGGUUCAGGAAAAAACCAUUAUCUACAAAAAGGAAUUGGAUUGAAUGGAGAUGUCUCUAAGGACCCUUCUGACUUUGGAAUGUGAUGAUACUUGAGUCUACAGACUAGCUUGGGAUCAACUCUGAAUAGUAGUACUUCUCAUUGGUCAUGUGAUCAACUCCUGCUGUGCCUCCAAAUCCCUGUAUUUUCACAGAAGUAAAAAUAAAGAUCUGUACAGAGAUAUUAUGAGAUGAGGA